ACUAUGUGAAUGCAGAAAUCAAGACACAUCUAGGUGAUUUUCAAAACGAAGCAAAGACAACAAUCUAGUUUAACAAAAGCGAAGAGAUCUUAGAAAUGAAAGCAAGAGAGAAACAAGCUAAGGACAGAGUGUAGAAUUGUAAGGAAGAAGAAGGAGAUGCACAAAAACCAUUAAUGUUUCAGUUGUUUAAAUACAUAAAACGAGGCCUUCAAUGUCAUGUUGUGAAGAAAGUCAAUGCCCAUCCCAUCAUAUUCUCAACAGCCUUUUUUUACUUCAAUGAUGUUAGAGUUACUUUGCACCUUCGAAUUGCAUUCCUCACAGAUGCAACAUAUGCCGUGUGAUCGAAGUAUGAG
RNAcentral lists this long non-coding RNA (353 nucleotides) under Manihot esculenta (cassava). Its description in RNAcentral is "long non-coding RNA (MESC_LNC000012)". The record is from RNAcentral. Lineage: Eukaryota; Viridiplantae; Streptophyta; Magnoliopsida; Malpighiales; Euphorbiaceae.